GGAAGUGGCAUACUGCUCAGUAACACGUAGCUAACCUAACCUCAAGACGGAAAUAACCCCGGGAAACUGGGGUCAAUGUCCGAUAGAUGUGAAUUCCUGGAAUGGUAUCACAUCCAAAUGUCAGUACACCAUGUUGUACGAACGCUUGAGGAUGGGGCUGCGGCCGAUCAGGCUGUUGGUGGGGUAAUGGCCCACCAAACCUUUGACCGGUAUGGGCCAUGAGAGUGGUAGCCCAGAGAUGGACACUGAGACGAGGGUCCAGGCCCUACGGGGCGCAGCCGGUACGAAACCUCCACAAUGCACGCAAGUGCGAUGGGGUUAUCUCGAGUGCUACCUGAAGAAGGUAGCUUUUCCAUGGUCUAAAUAGCCGUGGGAAUAAGGGGGGGGCAAGACUGGUGUCAGCCGCCGCGGUAACACCAGCCCCCCGAGUGGUAGGGAUGUUUAUUUGGCCUAAAGCGUCCGUAGCCGGCUAGGUAAAUUUCUCGUUAAAUCCAACGUCCUAAGCGUUUGGCUGCGAAAAAGACUGCCAAGCUAGAGGGUGGGAGAGGUCAGCGGUAUUCCUGGGGUAGGGGCGAAAUCCAUUGAACCCAGGAGGACCACCAGUGGCGAAGGCUGCUGACUAGAACACGCCUGACGGUGAGGGACGAAAGCUGGGGUAGCGAAUCGGAUUAGAUACCCGAGUAGUCCCAGCUGUAAACGAUGCAGACUAGGUGUUGGGUUGGCCACGCGCCGACUCAGUGCCGCAGGGAAGCCAUUAAGUCUGCCGCCUGGGAAGUACGGCCGCAAGGCUGAAACUUAAAGGAAUUGGCGGGGGAGCACCACCAGGCGUGAAGCCUGCGGUUUAAUUGGAGUCAACGCCGGGAACCUUACCGGGAGCGACAGCAGAGUGAAGGCCAGGCUAAAGGUCUUGCCAGACGAGCUGAGAGGAGGUGCAUGGCCGUCGCCAGUUCGUGCCGUGAGGUGUCCUCUUAAGUGAGGUAACGAACGAGACCCGCGCCGCAUGUUGCUAACAAGUCCUAAAGGGAUGUUGAGCACUCUUGCGGGACCGCAGCCGACAAGGCUGAGGAAGGUGCGGGCAACGGCAGGUCAGUAUGCCCCGAAUCUCCCGGGCCACACGCGGGCUGCAAUGGUAGAGACAGAGGGCUGCAACCCCGAAAGGGGAAGCCAAUCCCUAAACUCUACCUCAGUUGGGAUUGAGGGCUGCAACCC
Molecule: ribosomal RNA, 1209 nt
Filed under: metagenome
Description: bacterial SSU rRNA
Rfam family: Archaeal small subunit ribosomal RNA
Source: RNAcentral